Molecule: long non-coding RNA, 2657 nt
Filed under: Panax ginseng (ginseng)
Lineage: Eukaryota; Viridiplantae; Streptophyta; Magnoliopsida; Apiales; Araliaceae
Description: long non-coding RNA (PGIN_LNC010879)
Source: RNAcentral
UAGCACAAAUCAACACAUUGCACAUUGUUUGAUAUAUAUAUAUAUAUAUAUAUAUAUAUGAAAUAAUUCAUAGCAAAUAAUGAAAAAUAGACAAAUAGCAUCAUAACUAUCAUUGCAGUAAUUAAUGGUGGAGAGUAAAAAAAAAAAACAUGCCUUCCGCUAUUUGGGCUAGCGGAAACUCUAAAAAAAAAAUUCGGAUCACAUUGCCCAAUACACAUCGGCUAGUUCAACUAGCGUACGAAUCAUUUCCCAGAAUCCCCUGCGAUUUCUUCUUCAAUUAAAUCCUCCAUCCUCUGCUGAUGCGAAGAAGAUGCUGCAACCCCCAAGCGAUUUCUUCAAUUAAAUCCUCCUAUUUCACUGCUGAUGCGAAGAACAUGCUGCGAUAAUCUGUAAAGCCUCCAUCAUCCUCUGCUGCGAUACCAAACCCUGAUGCGAUUUCUUCUUCGAGCGAAUCCGUCAUCCUCUGCUGCGAUAAUGUGUAAAGCCUCCCUCAUCCUUCAAUUCAGAUAAUUUGUAAAGCCUCCCUCCUGCUGCGAAAACCAAACCCACUGGCGAUUUCAAUUUCGAGCGAAUCCUAUAAACCAAACCCUCCUUUGUGUCCGACUGGCGAUUUCUCCUUUGUGUCCGACUGGCGAUUUUGAAUACAGAUAUCAAAUACACCUCUUUCCCCUCUUCACUCCAAUCCAAUCCAAUCCUCUGAUCCUCUUCAAUUCAGGUAACUUUUGAUCAAUUUAGAUUUUAUUUCAACUGGCGAUUUUGUUUUGUUGUUAUUCAAUUGAUUAAUAUGGUACUGAUUAGUUAACUUGUUUUGUAUCUAAUGUAUGUCAUUUAUUUGGAGUGUUAUGUAUGAACCUUGUUGGCUUGAAACACUGAAUUUUCAUGGUUUAUCAUGUAGAAAUGGUUGUAAAGGUGGAUGACAUUGUCAGGUUUGGAAGCUGUAUUUGAUAGGGUUUUUACUGGUACGAAUAAUUAUUGACAUGUAAUGCAGGGUUUAUACAUAUUUUGCUAAGGUUAUGUUUUCUUUGGAGGUGCUAUAUCAUUUUUCCAUAUUGAUCCAUACUCAUUUUCCUGAAGCCAUAUCUGGAUAAUAGCCUAUGUUACAAUUAGAAUUUUCUCUCAGUUAUUUAGGUUAUCACAUUAUCGGCAUAUAGAGUGUAAGGCAUUUGGUUUCGCAUUGAUCGUAUGCAGACAUACCAUUAAAUAGGUUGGAAUAUUGCAUCUUGUGCUACAGUUAGUCUGCAGUCAGGGUUUAGUUUUAAAUUUCUUCUUGUGUUUGUUGCCUACCAGCUUUGGAUGUAGCUGUACUUGUCUAUGUUAUAUGGUAUGUAUCUGAUUUGGGAAUAUAUGGGUUUGUGCUUGUGAAAUCAUUAGCCAGUCAUGUAGCAAAUAACAGAGAACUUGGUAUACCCUGUUUUGCAAAUUUUAUUUGUUAGGCAUGCUAUGUCAGUUUUGAAUAGGCCUUGGCACUUCUAAAAUUAGUUCCUUUUAAUAUUUCAAGCUCACUGGCCAUUAAUGAUAUUUGAUGUUUUUUUUUCUUUUUUCAAUAUUGUCAAAAUGCAAUGAUGGGCAUUAUUUUUGUAGAAAUAAAGUUGUUUGCGUGUCAGAGGAGCAUGGUAAAUUUAGCAGUAAUUCAACAAAGUUGAAGACUUAACGUAUUUAAAUUGUAUGGAUGUUUAUUUGUUUAUUGAUCUGUUUCUAUAAUAUUCACCUACACUUUUUCUUAGUGUGAGAUGACAGGUGGUGUAGUUGAUAUUGGCGAUGGGGCUGCUCAUGUUGUACCUGUUGCAGAUGGUUAUGUUUUAUUGGUAGCAGCAUUAAGUUGAUUCUCAUUUCUGGGAAUGAUGUAACUCUCUUCACCCAGCAACUCAUGUGGGUAAGUUGUCUUUGACUCUCAAUCUCGCAUUAGUUCCUUGAAUUAAAAGACUUAGGAGUAGAGAAUGCUCAGAGGCAAAAUGAUGUAGAGCAGUGUUACUAAGUUGUUUUUUUUUAGUUAAAACUCAAAAGAUUUUGGAGUCUUUACGCGAAAUGGGUUUUUAAAUCCAGGCCAUUGAUAUGUUAUUUGCCAAAUUUUGAUCCAUAGCAAAUACAUUAUCCAUUGCCCAUAUAUAUAUAUAUAUAUAUAUAGACAGGAUCAAGAGUAGACCUCUUAAGUAGUAGAAUUCUCUUAAAUAAUAGAACUUUAUCAAAACGACGUANNNNNNNNNNNNNNNNNNNNNNNNNNNNNNNNNNNNNNNNNNNNNNNNNNNNNNNNNNNNNNNNNNNNNNNNNNNNNNNNNNNNNNNNNNNNNNNNNNNNAAGCUAAUGAACACUGGUACACAGCAACCAUGGACCAUCUUCCUAGUUGUCUUGACAUGGGAGGUUGACAAGUGUCGUGUUGUUCCCGCAGGCAUUGGAUUGGGUAAGAGUUAGGCUGUAGACGUGCUGCUCUCCAUUAUUAGUCAGUACUCUUGGUAUAUACUAGUAUGUGGUCUGAUGUACUGCUUUUUCCAUUUCUGAUUUAUGCUGGGGACUUUGGCUAUUUUGCACCUGAGUAUGCAAUUAUUAGGGGAAAAAAUAAAUAUGAUGAAAUUAGAUCAUUGUAAUAUUUCACAAAUUCUUUUUGUAAUAUUACAUAUUAAUAUAUUCAAAUUAAAAUAUUUCUUUUUCUUUUUAUAAUA